GCCGGGGUGGCGAAAUGGCAGACGCGACGGACUUAAAAUCCGUUGGCCGUAAGGCCGUGCGGGUUCGAGUCCCGCCCUCGGCA
Molecule: transfer RNA, 83 nt
Filed under: Acidobacteriota bacterium
Lineage: Bacteria; Pseudomonadati; Acidobacteriota
Description: tRNA-Leu
Rfam family: tRNA
About the family: Transfer RNA (tRNA) molecules are approximately 80 nucleotides in length. Their secondary structure includes four short double-helical elements and three loops (D, anti-codon, and T loops).
Source: RNAcentral